RNAcentral lists this long non-coding RNA (209 nucleotides) under Sorghum bicolor (sorghum). RNAcentral's name for it is "long non-coding RNA (SBIC_LNC012446)". Lineage: Eukaryota; Viridiplantae; Streptophyta; Magnoliopsida; Poales; Poaceae. The record is from RNAcentral.
CUCAGGGACUGGUAAAUUCAAUUGCAUAACUUCCAGCUCAGUAAUUUUAAUUUUUUAGACCUUGCUACAAGCCUCAUACUUUGCCUUCCAGCAAGCUCGGGGACUACAUCGGUACGAUGCAUCUAGCGAUGCAUGUUAGUAUCAGAAAUUAUAAGAUAAUUUUCUUUUUAGACCCUUGCACCACGUGCCUACGUCACCAACUACCAGGC